CCAUCAGACAGGUGCAGGCAAAUGGAGGCCGACAUGUUCUUCGAUAAUGUGGUUAUCGCUGGAGUCAUUACAGUCGGCCUGAUGCUGCUGUUCUUUGUCGGAUUCGGAAUUUUCAUCUGGAAGGACUCGAACAAGCGCAAACAGCGCUGAUUCUUCCGGUACACGAGCACGCAAGGCAUUUAGGGCGACUUCGGUCGCCCCUUUUUUUG
RNAcentral lists this small RNA (209 nucleotides) under Pseudomonas alkylphenolica. RNAcentral describes it as "P20". It matches the Rfam family "PhrS". The record is from RNAcentral. Lineage: Bacteria; Pseudomonadati; Pseudomonadota; Gammaproteobacteria; Pseudomonadales; Pseudomonadaceae.